UUANGUCUUGGGCUGCACACGUGCUACAAUGGCCGGUACAAUGAGCUGCGAUACCGUGAGGUGGAGCGAAUCUCAAAAAGCCGGUCUCAGUUCGGAUUGGGGUCUGCAACUCGACCCCAUGAAGUCGGAGUCGCUAGUAAUCGCAGAUCAGCAUUGCUGCGGUGAAUACGUUCCCGGGCCUUGUACACACCGCCCGUCACGUCACGAAAGUCGGUAACACCCGAAGCCGGUGGCCCAACCCCUUGUGGGAGGGAGCUGUCGAAGGUGGGACUGGCGAUUGGGACGAAGUCGUAACAAGGUAGCCGUACCGGAAGGUGCGGUUGGAUCACCUCCU
RNAcentral lists this ribosomal RNA (334 nucleotides) under Streptomyces sp. YSEE-1. RNAcentral's name for it is "bacterial SSU rRNA". It matches the Rfam family "Bacterial small subunit ribosomal RNA", at positions 1202 to 1531 of the family's 1533-position model. Lineage: Bacteria; Bacillati; Actinomycetota; Actinomycetes; Kitasatosporales; Streptomycetaceae. The record is from RNAcentral.